GACUCCUAAUUUUUUCACUAAGAGCCAUUCAAGAAGCAUUCUAGCAUUUUAUCUUUUUAGUUGUUACAAAGAUACCGCCUAAACCGUGAAGUAAUGAUUGUUGUGGAUGUUGUGAGGGAUGCAAUAACAGCGCCAACUAAUCGCAACAAUCCAAUCAGUGCUGAAUUGAAAUGUUUAACAACACUUCACUACCUGACACCAGGGAAAAUUCAGUUGUGUAAUUCUGACGAUCUUGAGAUAUCCCAGCCAUCGGUAAGCAGAUCCAUCAACCAAACCAUCAAUGCACUCUGUAGACCCUGUAUUAUUCGACAGUUCAUACGUUUUCCUAUGGACAUUCGCCAAAUCCAAAUAAACAAAGCCAGCUUUAUGGAUAUUGCCGGUGUACCUGAAGUGGUCGGUGCUAUAGAUGGGACACAUAUUAAAAUAAUUGCACCGCGUCAGGUUGAGGAUGUGUUUGUGAACAGAAAGAAAACCCACUCCAUCAAGUGGCCCGGAUCAACUUAUGACUCGAGGAUAUUGAUGGAGAGUGGUCUGAGGCAACUGUUUGAGAGACGUCAUGUGCCAGCUGGAUGUCACUUGGUGGGGGACAGUGGCUAUCCCUGUAAGUCGUGGCUCCUUACACCUUACCUCCAUCCACAAGUGGGACCACAGUUAAAUUACAAUAGAGCACACAAGAAGACAUGCAGUGUGGUGGAAAGGGGGAUUGGACAGCUAAUGCAAUGUUUUCACGUUUUACAUAGUGAAAUCCGCCUUAGACCAGAGAAGACGUGUUAAGUGAUCACUGUGUGUGCGCUACUUCACAACCUGUGCCGGCAAAGAAACAUACCACAGGCAGGAGAUUGUGAUGAGUUUGAUGAUGAUGAUGAUGACAAUGAACACAACCAAUUUGUUGAUGAAGUGGAACAAUGUGGACUGGCAUUCAGGGAUCACUUUGUCCAUACACACUUUGGGGGUGAUGGCCUUGCACCAGCAGCAGCCCUGAGGGGAGAGGAAUAGGUGAAGUAAGAGUCAGGGGUGGAAGAUGCGCAGGAAGAGGAAGAUGACCUGCAUCUGAAGGACCUGGGUUUUCAUUUGGCCUGUAACAUAAAUUGUAGACUGUAAAAACAUCUUAUAAUUUGUGAACACAGUUUUUUGUGUGGGUGUUUGGUUUGCACAUAAUGAUAUUGUAUGCCCUUCAUUAAAUAUCACCAAAAAUGUACAAGUAUUGCAUUCAUCGCAUAAACAUAGCCUACCCCUCUAUUUCCAUUAGCAGCUGCAUUGCCGGAUCAGUUUUACCCUCAAGGCCCGUUAUGCUGGUGUCUGAUCCAACGGCACUAUACACCACCGAUGCAAUGUGGCUCAGUGGCUUAGGUGCUGGUCCUCCUCCUUAACAAAUGUAUGGACAGUUUCACCAACUUAAAAGCAUUGCCUACAUAAUACUUAAAAGCACACUUUAAUGUAAGCAUAUUGUUUAUGACAUUUGUUUCAUAAUUCAUUACAUUCAUGACAAGCAGGAAGUUUGUAGAAUUACAUGAAACAAUAAUGAUAUUAUAUAUUUAAUAUAAUAGGCCUACCUGUUGCCAUGUUUGCCCGUUUAAAAGCUGCAAUCUCAACCCUCGACUGCGAUUGUAGCACAUACACCACCUCUCGCAGUCGUCCGGUGUCCGCGACACAAGCGGGAAUGCUGCAUUGAUCUGUAGACAAAUCCUCUCCCAUGUCUCACGCUUAGUUUGGCUUGAUAUCCCAGUGCUGAAUUUCUCUUUUAUUAUGUGUCUUUUUUCCAGCACCAACUGGGCCAGCAGCAGUAACUGAUCCUGUGUCCAGUUGGGCUUUCUUUUACGUUUUGGCGAGCUCAUGAUCCACCGUCAUUCAACAAUUACAUAAGGCUACUUCAAUAGGAGCAACAUUUCCUUACUUUAAGUAGUCUAUUUAGGCUAAUAGGAUGUCAAUUAACCAAGCAAGUGUUAAUGCAAUGUCGUUUUUCAUUAUUAGGCAAUUUGCGGUUUUCAUUAUGGUAUUAGGCUACCUUGAUUUAAUUUUAUUUUAUUCACGACUUUUCUCUCUCUCUCUGCCUUUUUAGAAUUACACUUCACUGGGGCCUGCACAAACAUGACAUUAUAUAUGCAUUUGGAUGACAUUGAAAUAUGUCUGUGUCCUACACAAAAUAAUAAUAGUAAUGUCGUAAUUCCAUGAUUUGGUGUGUCUGUGUUAUGUUCCGCAUGAUAGCCCUGUCAUCUAACAACCAAUCACCGUGGUCAUUGCGAGGGUGCAUGAGAAUUGACGUCAUCCGUAGCAACGAAGACUCGCUCUUAGUUUAGGAAGGAAAAUGUAAGUUAACCCUUGAAUUUAAUAGCUUGUUGAACCUCCUUUGGCACCAGUUACUUCAAACAAGCGCUUUCAGUAGUUCUGAAUCAGACCUGCACAUCGUUCAGUAGGAAUAUUUACCCAUUCCCCUUUACAAAACCGCUUCAACUCAGACACAUUUGUAGGAUGUCUGGUGUAAAUCGCACUUCUGAGGUCAUUCUCCAGGUUAAGUUCUGGGCUUUGUCUAGGCCACUUCAAAUGGCACAUUUUGUUUUGUUUUUUGUCAGUCCGAGGUGGAUUUACUUCGAUCCUUAAGGUCAUUGUACUGCUGCAUCAACCAACUUCUACUUAGCCUCAACUGGCGGACAGCCACCCUGACAUUAUCCUGUAGGAUAUUUUGUUAAAUUUGGUAAUAAAUUUUUCCCUCGAUGAUGGCAAGUGGUCCUGACUCUGAGGCAGCAAAGCAUGCCCAGAUCAUGAUGUUCUCUCCACCAUACUUCACUGUUGCGAGGAUGCUUACUGUUGGUAAGCUGUGGCCUUUUUGCCCCAUAGUAUUUUUCCCGAACAAUUCAACUUUUGUUUUAUCAGUCCAUAAAAUAUUUUCACAGUAGCACUGGAUUGUUUUGUAUCCCUUUUCAGCCUUAUGGAGUGCAACAAGUCUUGAUCAGAUAUCUUUAGAGAGGCAUGGUUCAUAAGAGCAGCAAUGUUAAAAUGUUUGAGUGUCUUUUUAUCAAUCAAAGUGGCACUAAACCACACCUUUGAACUCAUUUUAUUAAUUGGACUCCAGUUUGCCAGCUUCUGACACAAAUGAGCUUUUAUUAAAGUAAAUAGUUAAUGGGUUCACUUACAUUUUCCUCCAGCAAUGUGAAUGUUUACUGGGUGUUUUAAAAAAAGACACAAGAAACUAGAAUUACGUGUAUGUUACACAUUGUGUUUGUCCAUUAUUGUGACCUAGAUGAGGAUCAGAUCACAUUUUAUGGCAAAUUACUGUAAAAAAAAAACAGUUCAUUCCUAGGGGUUCACAAACUUGCCACUGUGAAUAUGUAUUUUCAUAUCUCUGGUCAUUGUAUAUGUUGUGUGCAUGUAAAUAUGUGCAUAUCAUGUGAUAAUGACUGUAAAUACAAUAUUGUAAUAUAUAUAACAAUGCAGACUGUUAUUUCUUGACAUUUAAAUGCAGUAAGCCACCUGAAGCUAUACUAUAUGUUACACAAGAUAUGGCCUUGCAUUAUUGCUUUUAUAAAAUGAAGACAGCAGUAAUAUGAUUAAAGAUGCCAAAGGUCAAUAAAUAAUUAAAGAUAUGAAUGUAACUGUAGACAUUUUUCAUUGCAAAGUAAUGUUGCCUUAAUAUUAAAUGUGCAGAAAUGUUAUUUAAAUGAAGAGUUAUUAAA
Long non-coding RNA from Paramisgurnus dabryanus, 3671 nucleotides. RefSeq lists it as uncharacterized. NCBI's taxonomy places the organism in Eukaryota, Metazoa, Chordata, Actinopteri, Cypriniformes, Cobitidae. The record is from RefSeq and is a predicted model, not a curated record.